GUCCAGUGGUUAGGACAUUGUCUUUUCAUGUCGAAGACACGGGUUUGAUUCCCGU
RNAcentral lists this transfer RNA (55 nucleotides) under Morus notabilis. It matches the Rfam family "tRNA", at positions 10 to 63 of the family's 71-position model. From Rfam's summary of the family: Transfer RNA (tRNA) molecules are approximately 80 nucleotides in length. The record is from Rfam by way of RNAcentral. Lineage: Eukaryota; Viridiplantae; Streptophyta; Magnoliopsida; Rosales; Moraceae.